GCGAAUGGCUCAUUACAACAGCUAUAAUUUACUUGAUCUUGACACAAUCCUACUUGGAUAACUGUGGUAAUUCUAGAGCUAAUACAUGCACCAAAGCUCCGAUCCUCGCGGAGAGGAGCGCAUUUGUUCGCCACAAAACCAAGCGCCCUUCUGGGCGUCCAGUGCUGAACCAGAACAACUCAGCUGAUCGCACGGUCUUGCACCGGCGACGUGUCUUUCAAGUGUCUGCCUUAUCAACUUUCGAUGGUAGUGUACCUGACUACCAUGGUUGUGACGGGUAACGGAGGAUAAGGGUUCGACUCCGGAGAAGGGGCCUGAGAAAUGGCCACUACGUCUAAGGAUGGCAGCAGGCGCGCAAAUUACCCACUCUCAACGCGAGGAGGUAGUGACGAGAAAUAACAAGACCGUUCUCCUACGAGGCCGGUUAUUGGAAUGGGUACAAUUUAAACCCUUUAACGAGUAUCUAUGAGAGGGCAAGUCUGGUGCCAGCAGCCGCGGUAAUUCCAGCU
RNAcentral lists this ribosomal RNA (509 nucleotides) under Helicotylenchus pseudorobustus. Its description in RNAcentral is "SSU rRNA". It matches the Rfam family "Eukaryotic small subunit ribosomal RNA", at positions 89 to 590 of the family's 1831-position model. Lineage: Eukaryota; Metazoa; Nematoda; Chromadorea; Rhabditida; Hoplolaimidae. The record is from RNAcentral.